RNAcentral lists this ribosomal RNA (253 nucleotides) under uncultured bacterium. RNAcentral's name for it is "partial 16S ribosomal RNA". It matches the Rfam family "Bacterial small subunit ribosomal RNA", at positions 524 to 776 of the family's 1533-position model. The record is from RNAcentral.
UACAGAGGUCCCAAGCGUUGCUCGGAAUCACUGGGCGUAAAGGGUGCGUAGGCGGGUCUUUAAGUCAGGGGGGAAAUCCUGGAGCUCAACUCCAGAACUGCCUUUGAUACUGAGGAUCUUGAGUUCGGGAGAGGUGAGUGGAACUGCGAGUGUAGAGGUGAAAUUCGUAGAUAUUCGCAAGAACACCAGUGGCGAAGGCGGCUCACUGGCCCGAUACUGACGCUGAGGCACGAAAGCGUGGGGAGCAAACAGG